UGUGUGUGAUAGUGUCACUGUGUGUGUGUGUGAUAGUCACUGUGUGUGUGAUAGUCACUGUGUGUGUGAUAGUGUCACUGUGUGUGUGUGUGUGAUAGUCACUGUGUGUGUGACUGAUAGUGUCACUAGCAUUGUGUGUGUGAUAGUGUCACCCAAUACACACUACACAACAGACACACGCCGCAGACUACACAGACUCACAACACACACUACACAACAGACACACACAGCAGGUUACACAAGUGACAACAGACACUAGAACAAGAGAAACUACAAUUCCCAGAAUGCAAAGAAACUAAAAUGACACUAAGAAGCCAGAUAUGGGCGUGUCUUACUGAACAGGGCGGGGCGCUAUAACACGCCUCCUUGGCUCCUCCCUGAUACGUCUGAGGUGGGCGUGGCUAGAGGCACCUGCGCACUGAGCCGGCAGCACGGGGCCUGACAGUCAUGCAGAAGUACGAGAAGCUGGAGAAGAUCGGAGAGGGUACUUAUGGCACCGUGUUUAAGGCUAAAAACCGCGAGACCCAUGAGAUUGUGGCCCUGAAGCGGGUGCGCCUGGACGAUGAUGAUGAGGGGGUGCCCAGCUCUGCAUUACGAGAGAUUUGUUUGCUGAAGGAACUGAAGCACAAAAACAUUGUCAGGU
Long non-coding RNA from Bombina bombina (fire-bellied toad), 643 nucleotides. RefSeq lists it as uncharacterized. The transcript has 3 exons. The record is from RefSeq and is a predicted model, not a curated record. Lineage: Eukaryota; Metazoa; Chordata; Amphibia; Anura; Bombinatoridae.